UACGUAGGGUGCAAGCGUUAAUCGGAAUUACUGGGCGUAAAGCGUGCGCAGGCGGUUAUUUAAGACAGAUGUGAAAUCCCCGGGCUCAACCUGGGAACUGCAUUUGUGACUGCAUAGCUUGAGGGCGGCAGAGGGGGAUGGCAUUCCGCGUGUCGCAGUGAAAUGCGUAGAUAUGCGGAGGAACACCGAUGGCGAAGGCAAUCCCCUGGGCCUGCACUGACGCUCAUGCACGAAAGCGUGGGGAGCAAACAGGAUUAGAUACCCUGGUAGUCCACGCCCUAAACGAUGUCAACUGGUUGUUGGGUCUUCACUGACUCAGUAACGAAGCUAACGCGUGAAGUUGACCGCCUGGGGAGUACGGCCGCAAGGUUG
RNAcentral lists this ribosomal RNA (372 nucleotides) under uncultured prokaryote. RNAcentral describes it as "bacterial SSU rRNA". It matches the Rfam family "Bacterial small subunit ribosomal RNA", at positions 524 to 896 of the family's 1533-position model. The record is from RNAcentral.